This 420-nucleotide ribosomal RNA is filed under the name uncultured bacterium. RNAcentral describes it as "bacterial SSU rRNA". It matches the Rfam family "Bacterial small subunit ribosomal RNA", at positions 355 to 774 of the family's 1533-position model. The record is from RNAcentral.
UAAGGAAUAUUGCUCAAUGGGAGAAAUCCUGAAGCAGCAACGCCGCGUGGAGGAUGAAGGGUCUAUGACUUGUAAACUCCUGUAAAGAAGGAAAAAAUUCCCAUGUGAUGGGAGAUGAUGGUACUUCUGGAGUAAGCCCCGGCUAACUACGUGCCAGCAGCCGCGGUAAUACGUAGGGGGCAAGCGUUGUCCGGAUUUACUGGGUGUAAAGGGUGCUCAGGCGGAUUUGUAAGUCAGAGGUGAAAUCUUACAGCUUAACUGUGAAACUGCCUUUGAUACUGCAAGCCUAGAGUAUGGAAGAGAGUGAUGGAAUAUCUGGUGUAGCAGUGAAAUGCGUAGAUAUCAGAUAGACCACCAAUGGCGAAGGCAGUCACUUGGUCCAUUACUGACGCUAAAGCACGAAAGCGUGGGUAGCAAACA